RNAcentral lists this ribosomal RNA (253 nucleotides) under uncultured bacterium. Its description in RNAcentral is "partial 16S ribosomal RNA". It matches the Rfam family "Bacterial small subunit ribosomal RNA", at positions 524 to 776 of the family's 1533-position model. The record is from RNAcentral.
UACGGAGGGUGCAAGCGUUAUCCGGAUUUACUGGGUUUAAAGGGUGCGCAGGCGGAUAUGUAAGUCAGUGGUGAAAUCUCUAGGCUUAACCUGGAAAUUGCCGUUGAUACUAUAUAUCUUGAAUGUUGUCGAGGUGAGCGGAAUAUGUCAUGUAGCGGUGAAAUGCUUAGAUAUGACAUAGAACACCAAUUGCGAAGGCAGCUCACUAAGCAAAUAUUGACGCUGAGGCACGAAAGCGUGGGGAUCAAACAGG